AUCAACCCACUUAAAUCAUCAUUUCAUAAUGUUACCAUGAAAUUUUACUAUUUUUACUAAUUAAUUCCUACACACAAUUUCACCAAAAAUCACUUAACAAAACAUGUUUGUUUAACAACCAAGGGCAAUAAUCUAUCAAUUAACAUCAAAACACAUUUAAAAUCAACUAUGGCAAGUCCCUCAACCUUUAACAAUUUUGCAAAUUAACCCCCGGGCUAGCUAACUAAGCUGAAAUGAGAAAAAAAAAACAUAAAAAUCACUAAAAUCGGAGCUCAAAUACAUACCAUGCAUGAAGAAGCUCAAAAUCAAAG
RNAcentral lists this long non-coding RNA (311 nucleotides) under Gossypium raimondii (Peruvian cotton). RNAcentral's name for it is "long non-coding RNA (GRAI_LNC004057)". The record is from RNAcentral. Lineage: Eukaryota; Viridiplantae; Streptophyta; Magnoliopsida; Malvales; Malvaceae.